RNAcentral lists this ribosomal RNA (274 nucleotides) under uncultured bacterium. RNAcentral describes it as "partial 16S ribosomal RNA". It matches the Rfam family "Bacterial small subunit ribosomal RNA", at positions 523 to 796 of the family's 1533-position model. The record is from RNAcentral.
AUACGGAGGGUGCAAGCGUUACUCGGAAUUACUGGGCGUAAAGGACGCGUAGGCGGUUUAGAAAGUCAGAUGUGAAAGCCUAUGGCUUAACCAUAGAACUGCAUCUGAAACUCCUAGACUAGAGUGAGGGAGAGGUCAGUGGAAUUAGUGGUGUAGGGGUAAAAUCCGUAGAGAUCACUAGGAAUACUCAUAGCGAAGGCGACUGACUGGAACUUUACUGACGCUGAGGCGUGAAAGCGUGGGGAGCAAACAGUAUUAGAAACCCUAGUAGUCC